GCGGGCGUGGCGGAAUUGGCAGACGCGCCAGACUUAGGAUCUGGUGCCCUAGGCGUGAAGGUUCGAGUCCUUUCGCCCGCA
RNAcentral lists this transfer RNA (81 nucleotides) under Christensenella minuta. It matches the Rfam family "tRNA". Rfam says of the family: Transfer RNA (tRNA) molecules are approximately 80 nucleotides in length. Their secondary structure includes four short double-helical elements and three loops (D, anti-codon, and T loops). Further hydrogen bonds mediate the characteristic L-shaped molecular structure. tRNAs have two regions of fundamental functional importance: the anti-codon, which is responsible for specific mRNA codon recognition, and the 3' end, to which the tRNAs corresponding amino acid is attached (by aminoacyl-tRNA synthetases). tRNAs cope with the degeneracy of the genetic code in two manners: having more than one tRNA (with a specific anti-codon) for a particular amino acid; and 'wobble' base-pairing, i.e. permitting non-standard base-pairing at the 3rd anti-codon position. The record is from Rfam by way of RNAcentral. Lineage: Bacteria; Bacillati; Bacillota; Clostridia; Christensenellales; Christensenellaceae.